Molecule: ribosomal RNA, 254 nt
Filed under: uncultured bacterium
Lineage: Bacteria
Description: partial 16S ribosomal RNA
Rfam family: Bacterial small subunit ribosomal RNA
Source: RNAcentral
UACGUAGGGGGGCAAGCGUUGUCCGGAUUUAUUGGGCGUAAAGAGCGUGUAGGCGGCCAGACAGGUCCGUUGUGAAAACUAGAGGCUUAACCUCUAGACGUCGAUGGAAACCGUCUGGCUAGAGUCCGGAAGAGGAGAAUGGAAUUCCUGGUGUAGCGGUGAAAUGCGCAGAUAUCAGGAAGAACACCCGUGGCUAAGGCGGUUCUCUAGUACGGUACUGACGCUGAGACGCGAAAGCGUGGGGAGCGAACAGG